Molecule: transfer RNA, 74 nt
Filed under: Burkholderia thailandensis
Lineage: Bacteria; Pseudomonadati; Pseudomonadota; Betaproteobacteria; Burkholderiales; Burkholderiaceae
Description: tRNA-OTHER
Rfam family: tRNA
About the family: Transfer RNA (tRNA) molecules are approximately 80 nucleotides in length.
Source: RNAcentral
AGGCUCGUAGCUCAGUUGGUUAGAGCACCACCUGACAUGGUGGGGUCGUGGUUCGAAUCCAAUCGAGCCUACCA